This is a long non-coding RNA of Panonychus citri (citrus red mite), 517 nucleotides long. RefSeq lists it as uncharacterized. The transcript has 3 exons. NCBI's taxonomy places the organism in Eukaryota, Metazoa, Arthropoda, Arachnida, Trombidiformes, Tetranychidae. The record is from RefSeq and is a predicted model, not a curated record.
AUUUAGUAACUCAGUUCAUCUGAUUAAUUACAAUUAACACCAACCAUUGUUUUAAUUGCUUCAGUUAAUUAAAACUAAGCUAGUAGUGGAUUAGAUUUUAAUUGUUGUUGAUUUUAAUUUAAUUGUUUUAAAAAUGUUUUCAGUGAAAAACUUUCUCGCAUUUAAUAGUUUAUCAACCAUCUUAAUCACAGUUUUGUAGGUGUCCAAUGCUGUUCCAACGACAAUUAACUCUGAUGACAAUCAAAUUAAAUCACUAAAUGAUAUUCAAACUGAAUACAAAGUUGAUGAUUAUGAUUAUGAUUCAAUUGAUUUAGAUGGCGAUUUUAAUUUACUUUCAUCAACCCCACCAACUUUAACCUCAUCAACUUUUAUUUAUUAUGAAUCAACUCAUCAUGAUGAUUUAGUUGAUUCAGUUUCCAAUAAGUCAGAUAAUUUACCAAAUGAUUUUGUAACUGAAAAUACAAAGACAACUGAUUAUAUUGAAACAAUUAAAGUUACUAAUCAAGAUACAACCCAA